GGUCAGCUGACACAUCCCUGCCAAUCUCCGGCACACCCUCCCUCCCAGACCCUCCUACUUCCUGGACAGCAUCCAUGUUGAAGGCAGCUUCAACAUGGAUGCUGUCCAGGAGGUGGGAGGGUCUGGGAGGGAGGGUCUGCCGGAGAUUGGCAAGGAUGUGUCAGCUG
Molecule: microRNA precursor, 167 nt
Filed under: Pelobates cultripes (western spadefoot toad)
Lineage: Eukaryota; Metazoa; Chordata; Amphibia; Anura; Pelobatidae
Source: RNAcentral